RNAcentral lists this transfer RNA (69 nucleotides) under Sphaerodactylus townsendi. RNAcentral's name for it is "tRNA-Ala". It matches the Rfam family "tRNA". From Rfam's summary of the family: Transfer RNA (tRNA) molecules are approximately 80 nucleotides in length. The record is from RNAcentral. Lineage: Eukaryota; Metazoa; Chordata; Lepidosauria; Squamata; Sphaerodactylidae.
GCUGUGGCUCAAUGGUAGAGCAUCUGCUUGGCAUGCAGAAGAUUCCAGUUUCAAUUCCCGGCAUCUCCA